Long non-coding RNA from Zingiber officinale, 1014 nucleotides. RefSeq lists it as uncharacterized. The record is from RefSeq and is a predicted model, not a curated record. The transcript has 5 exons. NCBI's taxonomy places the organism in Eukaryota, Viridiplantae, Streptophyta, Magnoliopsida, Zingiberales, Zingiberaceae.
UUGUUCUCAUUCUCGCCGAUUUCCUUUCUCCCCAAGCCGAAUUGCCGACCCCCUCUCCCGAUCUCGUCGUCGUCGCCCUAGAUCGCCGACCGCCGCCUACCAUCAUUGCGUCUCCUCGUCGACAAUGGUGUUGUCUUCCUCUCUUGGCCAUGGGCACCAGGUGCUUGCUGGAAGCCGAGCACACGAGUCGGCGAUAGGGCCGUCUGACCUCGACCAUGAGAUGCGCUGCUAGGCGUCGACGAUCUCCACCGCAACCACUCUCGUGCCCUAGCCUUGAUCCUUGUCCGGUUGAGCUCUCCCUCUUCUUGAUCCAACACUGUCGCCCUCUCGCCGUUUGCCUGUUGGAUUUCUCCGCAAGCGCAGGUCAACAUUGAUGACUUCUUUGCCGUUGCGAACAUUGUGUGACAGUUCUCUAGCUUGGCGAUGCCAUCACUGGUUGUGAUUGAGAGAAGAGGGCAACCAGCGAGAGAUCUCUAUUUCCUCACAGUAGCAUCCAGGAUCUUCAUCGGGUGGUUGUAGAUCUGUGUAUAGAGCCCCUAUUUAUCGCAGUAACCUGUGGUUUCUUCACUAAAUAGUUAUAAACCCGGAUUGAGCUUCAGCCAACAUUAUAUUGUUCGUUGGAGAACCACAGUUCGAACCAUCUUAUUCUGACAGUGAACCUCUCCGGCCGUGAAUCGACGGAGGAGAAAUUCAAUUUGGGACUUUGAUUUGAGACGAGCAUCUCGAUGUGGGAUUUGUUUAUCACAAUGAACAGAUAAACACGGGUAGUAGGUAGAUGAUUGUGGAGUCGCUUGGAGUAUCCUGUUUGUCGGUCCCACGUCACAUCUGAGGAUGGUUUUGGGUUUUACUUCUUACUUUACUUGCUUUACGAAUUUGUGAGCUUGACAUUGUAUUUCUUCAAUUUUAUUUUAGAGUUUUGCUAUGUUGGUAUCUUGUAUUUAUCUUGUUGUGACUGUGUGUAAAGCCUAGUCGGCUGGCGGUUUAUCUUUCUUGAUUUAUGAGCUUUCCUUUCUU